RNAcentral lists this long non-coding RNA (462 nucleotides) under Homo sapiens (human). RNAcentral describes it as "non-protein coding lnc-NWD1-1:1". The record is from RNAcentral. Lineage: Eukaryota; Metazoa; Chordata; Mammalia; Primates; Hominidae.
CAAGGCAGGGGAAUCACUUGAACCUGGGAGGCGGAGAUUGCAGUGAGCCGAGAUUGCACCAUUGCACUCCAGCCUGGAUGAUACAGAGAAACUGUCUCAAAAAAAAAAAAAAAAAAAAAAAUGUCAGCCAGGGCUGCAACUAUCUGAAGACUUGACUGGGGCUGGAGGAUCCACUUCCAAAACGUCACCCUUAGCUGGCGUUUGGCUGGAGGUCUCAGUUCCUUACCACAUGGGCUUUUGCACAAGCUGCUUGAAUUUUAUCAUGACAUGACACCUAACUUCCCCAGAGCAAGCAAUCCAAGAAAGCAAAGAAGACCUAGUACCAUUUCUGAUCUGGUCUGAGUCAAACACCAUCACAUUGCUUUAUUCAAGUCACUAAGUCCAGCCCAGAGUCAAGGAGAAGCCAAUUAGGUGUUAUUCUCUUUUCUUUCUUUCUUUCUUUCUUUCUUUUUUCUUUCUUUC